GUGUACUUGAAGAAUGGAUGAUGAUGAUUUUGGUGGUUUUGAGCUUCCAUGGCAGAUUGUCUCAAUUGACUGCUUUUUGGCUGACAACUCAAUGCGGAAUCCAAAUUGAAAUUCUGGCUCCUUUUCUCAGUAAUAAUUUUGCUGUGACCUGGACACUUAAGGGAGAGAAAACUCUUCACUCUUACCCACAAACUCAGCAUUCAGCUGCAGAGAUUUUUGAUGGUGGAAAUGGCGAAACCCAAACUACGUCUCCUGCUAUUCCUUGGGCUGCUUUUCCUACAGUAUCUGGAGUCCAUCUUUCUCCAGCUUCUCCUGAGAUUAUACUGGACCAUGACCACUCUUCUCCUUCAGUUGGCUGCCUGUCUUCGGAACCCAUCAUUUCAUCACCAGAGAAUACACACACAGAUGACAGCAUUGUCAGUCAAACUGUUCCUAAAGCACAGAUUCAGCAAUCAACACACACUCAUCUGGAUAUCUCACUUUUUCCAUUGGGUUUAAAUGAUGAGAAAAGUAAUGGAACAAUUGCUCUGGUGGAUGAUUCUGAGGAUCUUGGAGUCAAUGUAUCAAACAUACAGCUUCAGCAGAAAAUUUCAAGUCUGGAGAUUAAACUCAAAGUUUCUGAAGAAGAAAAACAGAGGAUUAAAAAGGAUGUGGAAUCAUUGAUGGAAAAGCAUAGUGUCUUAGAAAAAGAUUUCCUUAAAGAAAAAGAGCAAGAGGCCAUUUCUUUUCAAGAUAGAUACAAAGAACUUCAGGACAAGCAUAAACAAGAAUUGGAAGACAUGAGGAAAGCUGGUCAUGAAGCUCUCAGCAUUAUUGUGGAUGAAUAUAAGGCACUACUGCAGUCUUCAGUUAAGCAACAAGUAGAAGCUAUUGAAAAACAGUACAUUUCUGCAAUUGAGAAACAAGCACACAAGUGUGAAGAGUUGUUAAAUACUCAGCAUCAGAGGCUCCUUGAAAUGCUAGAUACAGAGAAGGAACUGUUAAAAGAAAAGAUAAAGGAAGCUUUGAUUCAACAGUCUCAAGAACAGAAGGUAAUAUUGGAAAAAUGUUUGGAGGAAGAAAGGCAAAGAAAUAAAGAGGCUUUAUUAUCUGCUGCAAAGCUUGAGAAAGAAGCAAUGAAGGAUGCAGUUUUAAAAGCCAUAGAAGAAGAAAGAAAAAAUAUGGAAAAAGCCCAUGCUGAAGAAAGGGAGUUAUGGAAGACUGAACAUGCAAAAGAUCAAGAGGAAGUAUCUCAGGCAAUUCAGAAAGCAAUACAAGAACAGAGAAAAAUAAGUCAGGAAACUGUUAAGGCAGCAAUAAUAGAAGAGCAGAAGCGAAGUGAAAAGGCUGUGGAAGAGGCAGUGAAAAGAACAAGAGAUGAAUUGAUAGAGUAUGUAAAAGAACAGAAAAGAGGCUACUGAGGUCCUUACUUAGGAGAUUCCAAAAAGAGAUAUGACCGCCAGCGUUUCUUCAGUCCUCUCUGACAAAGAAGACGAUGCAUCUUCAUGGUGAUCUCAGCGCUUCUGAUGCCAUUUGGAAAUUCGGAAACGGCUCAAUUAUAUCUGUGAGCCAUAACUUAAUCAUCUCUGAAGCUGUUUCCAGGAGGACAUUUUAAAUUUCUGUUAUGAUUAUCAGUUGCAUAUACAAGAAAUAACCUAAGUUUCUGCAGAUACAAAGAUGAAGACACCAUCGAUGCUUUGGAAUAGCUUGGAGCUUAGUCAAUACGGUGCUCAUGCGAACAAGAUGAAAACCCAGCAGGCUAACCACUAAAGGGCAGAGUGUACUGUGCACGCAGGGGCUCUGGAAUUUGGGAAAGGCCUCCCAGCAGAAGAGGAGCCUCAGCUGAGCCUCUAAGGAUGGUUGAAUGCAAGUUAAUCAGGUGAGAAACAGGGAAUGGCAUUUCAGGAGGCAGGAAUGGUACCUUGCAAAGGUACAAAAGAGGGAGAGAUUAGGACAGUGGCAUAAGGAGAGCAAGUAGUGCCAGGGUCAAAGCAGUACAUUGUAUCCUCUGGCUACCUAAGAGUUUUCCUGGAAAAUGAACAAAGGCAUGGCGAAGCUCAGGUGCUUUCCUGCAUUUGACAUUCAACAAACCUAGAGACACCAACUCAGAGCAAAAGGAAAUGACACACCCUGACUGGUUUCUUUGUGAUACCCCAAGACAAGCGCCAAGGGACUUAGAGAUUAUUGUCUCUGGAACAGUCAGGGCUGCUCAUGUGUGUGUGACCUGCAGCCACACAGCGCUCUGUGCUCAGAAGCCUUUGGACUUGGGCGAAUCUCUGCAAGUGCUGUCUUGAAAUUCUUUAAUACAUCUUGAUCAGAGGGCCCUUCAUUUUCAUCUUUCACUGGGUCCCCCAAAUAAUGUAGCUGAUCCUGAGAAUAGGUCAUUUUCAAAGAAUUUAAAAUAGUUCAGUACUGUCAUAUACAAAGUGGAAGGAGGGCAAGGUGGCUGAGGAGGUUGAGAAGGUAGGCAGUGGCAUAUAUGGAAAAGCCUGGAAGCCUUGCCUUUAAAAUUUGCCUGUGGGAGAAGGAUAGUCAUUGAGGACUUUGAACAAGAAAGUAAUGCGAAGAGAUUUGACUUUUAGAUCACUCUAGUGUAAUGUAGGUGAUGGAGUGGAAAUGUAACAGUUUUUCCCAUAUAAAAUUAACACCUUUUUUUGUUCAGAUUUCAUUUAUCAGGUCUGAAUUUUUGAUCCAUGUCAAAAUGCAAAGGUCCCUAAGAGGAAUAACUGCUGCUAUGGUUAAUGUACAUUUUAGGGUCAAUUAAGAUAGCAAGACCUGUGAGUACUUUUGAGAACUGGAGGUCGGAAAGAGAGAAUGGAAACCAGGAGGCAGAGGGUUCUGUAUGGAGGAGGGGGCCAUAGCGAGGCUGAGCCUUUAGAGGGAAGCUUAUAGGCUUUUUCUUUGUUUUCAUUUUUCACAAGACCAGCCUGACCCACACGUAAGAUUUUUUUUUUCCCUAAAAUUGCUUUUAGCACUCCCUACCUAGAGUCAUUUAGUGCAGUGGUUCUCAAAGUGUGGUUCCCAGGAAAGCAGCAUCAACAUCAUGUGUUAGAAAUGCAUUCUCUGCCCCAUUUUAGGUACACUGACUCAGAAACUCUGGGGGCAGAGACCCCGCAAUCUGCUGCUACCAGCCUUCCAGGUGAUCCUCAUGCAGCUAAGACCUGUUGCAUCAUCAUGAGUUAUCUAUGUCCUUGGAACUCACACAUGACCAGUGGAAGUGCCUAUCUGGUAUUAGAAUGGAGAAUCUAAAGUGAUUUUCAUACCAAGAAAAAGUUAGGCUUUGUUCUAAACAUGCUUUUCAUGGAAGUAUAUUCAGUGGGUGAUCUAAGGUUAUGUAUGAUUACAGUGUCUUCAUAGGUGAUAAUUCCAUAGUUCCAGAAUGACUAUAAAAGGUCAUGUAUCAUUGCACAGACUCAGAAUCAUAGCUGCUGGAGCUAACUAUGGCAUUUAGCAAAACAAGAUAAAGAUGAUUCUUUUUUGUGUAUGCAAGCACGGUUGUUAUAUGGGAAGCAUGUUUCACUUGUACCGUCAUCUUCCAAAGGAAAAUCUUUGCUGAUAGUGCUGGAAUUUUCAUUUCUCUGCGCCUUACAUUAUACCAGUAGUGUCACGGCUAUGUUAAUACAUAUCCAAAAGUUGCUUUCGUUUACAUAAUCUAUAAAAUUUCUGAAAUGCAGUCUAAGUUGCUGUUAAAACCAGCAUUUCUCAGAUUCUUUCCAUUGUCCUCCAUGAGUAAUCCAAUAUACAUGGAAGGAUAAAAGAGUAAACACUUUUGUGAUAGUCCAAAUUUUUCCAGUGGAAUUUUAAACAAUUUGACAGUUCAGUCUUGUUAAAAAGUGAUAUGAAAUAAAUGCUUCUUAGCAAACAAUUGUCCAGUAAAUAUUAUAAUUCUGUCUCAUAUUCUCACAGUGGAUUGCUUUCUGAGUCUUUCAGUGGAAUUCUUUCAAAUUAGAGCUCAAUGAUCUUCUUUAUAUUUUAUCCAAGGUUUGAAGUACAUGAACCUGUCUCUACUUACUUGAACAAUGGCCUCUAUUAUGGUGUCUUUUUCUUUAAAUCCAAAUAUUAUACUCAGCAUUUUAGGAAUUCCCUAUUCCAAAUACAGGCAAUUAAAUUGUCUAUAAGUUAUUCAGAGCCCUAGAAAACGAAAUGAAAUAGGAGUUUGUACUUUGAAAUGAGUUCAAAAAUGUGUACCAUUUGUCAAUGCUAGACUCUGUCAAAUAGUCCUCAUUAUCUUCUGGUUCUGCUGUUAACAGACGAAAUAAUCUGACACAGACUUCUCUAACAAAAAUAUUUCCUUCUAGAAGUCUGGCCUUUCUCAGCAAUCAGGAUUCAAAUUCUUGACCUUGAAGAUGGGAGAGAGAACAGAAUGCUUCUUGGUGCCACUCUAAGCUGGAUGAAAUUUGAAAACAUCCCCCAGGAUGAAUAGGGGAACAUGCAUGGAAAUUUGCAUUGCUUUUAGCAAAAUCUAGGACUAAUUUGGAACGGAUAGCCUGGUACUCCAGAAUAAGAGAAAACCAAGUCUGAAACUUUGGAACCCCUGGAGAUGUUGCCUGGGGACAGGGCUCAGAUGCAAGGUUCACAUCACUGGCCAAAGAAGGCAAGAUGAUUCUGAGUUGAGACCAGAACAAAAGUGGUCAUCAUCCUUUCCUGUUCAGUGACUGUUUACCCCAACCUCUUUUGCAUUUUCCCUUUUAAUUUAGGAUCCUGAAAGUGUGAUUCUGUUCCCACCCUCUCGUAAACUUCAGUAAAACAAGGAAGUAAACAAGUGUUUAUUGAACCAACUUGAAGGAAUGAAAGAAUGGUGGUCUCCUUAAUCAUUUCAGAAUACUUGAAUAUUAACCCAAAUGAAUUUCUAAUUAGUGGACUUUGAGACAGUGUGAAGAAAGUGUCUGGGAGCAAGAGCCUCUUUCUAAGAGCAAAGGGGCUGGGGUUACAAACUCAUUUCUUUUCUCCCCAGCUGCCUCGUCCACCUCUUUCCACAUAUUAUCCUUCUUGGCAGGGAGCAGGGGGGAUAGGGUAUCCAUCAACGCCACUGUUUUCCUCUUCCAUCAGAUCACCAUUUCCUCUUCCUUGUCUGGUGCCUGAAACCCUCACUGUCUGUCUCCAUCCAUCAGUGAAAGGGUGGGAUGGCAGAAAGUGGGAAUUCCCUACUGAACACUUCUACUUAGAUAUCCUAGAGGGACUAUAAAUACCAUCCGAAAAAUAAACUCCCUACAUCCAUACCUGCUCCUUAUGUUGAAGAGCCUCUGUUAUUAUGGUAUCAUCACCCAGUUGGCCAAGUGAAGAGUUUGGAGAUACUGGGUUCCUUGGAUGGU
RNA transcript from Acinonyx jubatus (cheetah), 5291 nucleotides. It is a transcript of the gene named coiled-coil domain containing 91, with no coding region annotated. The transcript has 15 exons. Lineage: Eukaryota; Metazoa; Chordata; Mammalia; Carnivora; Felidae. The record is from RefSeq and is a predicted model, not a curated record.